This 492-nucleotide ribosomal RNA is filed under the name uncultured bacterium. RNAcentral describes it as "partial 16S ribosomal RNA". It matches the Rfam family "Bacterial small subunit ribosomal RNA", at positions 29 to 507 of the family's 1533-position model. The record is from RNAcentral.
AGUGAACGCUGGCGGUAGGCCUAACACAUGCAAGUCGAACGGCAGCACAGUAAGAGCUUGCUCUUACGGGUGGCGAGUGGCGGACGGGUGAGGAAUACAUCGGAAUCUACUUUUUCGUGGGGGAUAACGUAGGGAAACUUACGCUAAUACCGCAUACGACCUACGGGUGAAAGCAGGGGAUCUUCUGACCUUGCGCGAUUGAAUGAGCCGAUGUCGGAUUAGCUAGUUGGCGGGGUAAAGGCCCACCAAGGCGACGAUCCGUAGCUGGUCUGAGAGGAUGGUCAGCGACAUUGGAACUGAGACACGGUCCAGACUCCUACGGGAGGCAGCAGUGGGGAAUAUUGGACAAUGGGCGCAAGCCUGAUCCAGCCAUGCCGCGUGGGUGAAGAAGGCCUUCGGGUUGUAAAGACCUCUUGUUGGGAAAGAAAAGCAGCAGGUUAAUACCCCGCUGUUCUGACGGUACCCAAAGAAUAAGCACCGGCUAACUUCGUG